RNAcentral lists this ribosomal RNA (468 nucleotides) under uncultured bacterium. Its description in RNAcentral is "partial 16S ribosomal RNA". It matches the Rfam family "Bacterial small subunit ribosomal RNA", at positions 28 to 507 of the family's 1533-position model. The record is from RNAcentral.
GACGAACGCUGGCGGCGUGCUUAACACAUGCAAGUCGAACGGAAAGGCCCUGCUUUUGUGGGGUGCUCGAGUGGCGAACGGGUGAAUAACACGUGAGUAACCUGCCCUUGACUUUGGGAUAACUUCAGGAAACUGGGGCUAAUACCGGAUAGGAGCUCCUGCUGCAUGGUGGGGGUUGGAAAGUUUCGGCGGUUGGGGAUGGACUCGCGGCUUAUCAGCUUGUUGGUGGGGUAGUGGCUUACCAAGGCUUUGACGGGUAGCCGGCCUGAGAGGGUGACCGGCCACAUUGGGACUGAGAUACGGCCCAGACUCCUACGGGAGGCAGCAGUGGGGAAUAUUGCACAAUGGGCGGAAGCCUGAUGCAGCAACGCCGCGUGCGGGAUGACGGCCUUCGGGUUGUAAACCGCUUUCGCCUGUGACGAAGCGCGAGUGACGGUAAUGGGUAAAGAAGCACCGGCUAACUACGUG